AUUGAACGCUGGCGGCAGGCCUAACACAUGCAAGUCGAACGGUGACAGGAAGCAGCUUGCUGCUUCGCUGACGAGUGGCGGACGGGUGAGUAAUGUCUGGGAAGCUGCCUGAUGGAGGGGGAUAACUACUGGAAACGGUAGCUAAUACCGCAUAAUGUCGCAAGACCAAAGAGGGGGACCUUCGGGCCUCUUGCCAUCGGAUGUGCCCAGAUGGGAUUAGCUUGGUGGUGGGGUAACGGCUCACCAAGGCGACGAUCCCUAGCUGGUCUGAGAGGGUGACUUGCCACGGUGGAACUAAGACACGUUCCAAACACAUACGUGAGGCAGCGGUGGAGAGUAAUGCGCAUAGCGAGCAAGCCUGAUGUAGACAGGCCGCGUGUAUGAAGAGGGCCUUCGGGUUGUAAAGUACUUUCAGCGAAGAGGAAGGGAGUAAUGUUAAUACCUUUGCUCAUUGACGUUACCCGCAGAAGGAGCACCGGCUAACUCCGU
Molecule: ribosomal RNA, 489 nt
Filed under: uncultured bacterium
Lineage: Bacteria
Description: partial 16S ribosomal RNA
Rfam family: Bacterial small subunit ribosomal RNA
Source: RNAcentral